CCGGAAAUAGCAUCGGCCUAACCACCGCAGUACUACAAACAGUCGGCACCGAUCCUGGCCUAAGGCCAACACCAUCAGGCACGACACAAUCCGGCUGGGGACAACCGCGGUCUCGUAAAUAUGCAGUAGGUUCCCUUGCCUCAGCAGUAGCCCCGAAUCGUGCCGAGGAUCGUGUCAGGGGACACAGGAGGACGUACUUAACAAGAUUUACAAAGAUUCGGCGAUUCAACCUCCUCUACGACGUUCGCAGCAUCUACACCCGGAUCCGGAGAACGCAUCCCAUAGUAACCCAGGUUCCACUAAAUGCCGUUGAACUAGACUGUUGUAAUUACACGUCACAUCAUCUUCACCAGGAUGCUCCGGAAAUGAGCGGAUCUCCCGCCGGCAUGGGACCGAAGCAUUACAAAUCACCACAACAUCUCCACCAUCCGCCUUCACUGAAUCAUCAUCCGCAACACGGACCGCCCGUCGUGCCCGUUCCCAAGUCCGAGUUCGACGAUAACAGGCGUUGUGAUGAAGACGGAACCUACGCCUAGACUGCGACGGCCGCCACCGUAGGGAUGAUUCCUACCAAACAGUCGUGCUAGUCCAACCUCAUCGAGUACGGCGCUGACUAGUGGAGUCCGAACAAUCCGUCCGGCAAGCGAAAGUACUCGCGCGAUCAGCUGAUACAGUUCAAGAAUGCGGCAACAACUCACGAAAAACCGGCUGGAUCUUCGUAAUUGUCCUAACCAUGGAGGAGGUGCCCACGGGAUGGGCAUGGAUUAGCAUCUACGAGAUGCUUUUGCCGACGUUCAUCAAGGAUUGCAUGAGAGAUGGGGGCGGAGGAGAAAAAGGCGGUGUGAACAUGGGCCAAAUGAGACAACAACACAUGCCGAAACUACUGUCCGGAUCGCAGCCAAACAAACAAUCUCAGCAGGGCAUGAAUAUGGUGGAGAUACUAAGCGUGAACGAGAACAAACGGACCGCCCAGAUGUUGUCCCUCAGCAAUUGCACUCGGCAGGGUUUUCGUCGUCGUUAAUUUAGUGUAACAUAACUAAGAGUAAGUAAAAAAUAAUAACAUAAUUAAUAUUAAUAAUAAUAUGCGCUCGUCGUCAAGUAGGAAGUGCCCGUCGCUACUGAGCCUGAAACAAGAAAUGAACGCCACACCUGCCUGCGCCAUCAACCGAGACAACACCAAGCACCAAUCCAGCAACGGCCACCACCGUAACAAUGAUCCCGACGUGGGCCAGAGGAGUCCAAGCAAAAGUAAUGCUGCACCGGUUCGCAAAAAGUCCGUGAAUCUGCGCAACAGUUUGGAAAAGAAGCUGCAGCCGAUGUUGAUCAAAACAUUGCAUGGGAGGUGGUAGCGGAAGAGGAGAAGGUGGUUGCAACAUGGGCCAAAUGAGAUAACCGAACAUGCCGUAACGAGCACCCCGCGGGUCAUCAGCGGCCAAGUUCGGUUCGCAGUUAAACUGACAAUCCUAGCAGGGCAUGAAUACUUUGAAAAUUCUGGUUCAAAGACGAUGCAACCGCGCGUCGAACAUCUCAACCCCCUGUAGUGGCCAGAACGCAAAUCUACUCGCCGAACUGAGAUGGGACCGUCGCCUUGGCGCACUCCCGGUCCCAAAACAUCUGCAAACGUGGUCAAAUACAAUACGUAGAAGGAAACCGUGCUGGACGCCAAGAACUGGAAGCGUUCCGAAAGAACCGUCGCCGGCCGCUGUACACUCCCGGCGUCUAUGACAAACUGGACAAGGCGACCCUGGCCAAAGAAACGCCAGAACCGAUAGAACACCUUCUUCAAUCCGCCGGCCAACUCCUUCAGCACCUUCUUGGCAACCGACAAAACUCCACUGGGAGCGUCAGCGCGUGCAAGAAAAGUAAAUUUAUUUUCUUCAAAAAGUUCCAACCCAUUGUAAAAUAAUCCAAAUAAAUUAAAAUGAUUAAUUAAUGCCUAAAAACAACUAAUUUUAAUUGAAACAUAACCUAGAAAUCCGAAAUUACAGCGCACGACAAAGGCACGACAUCCUAAAUAACAAAACCGUGCGACGUCUGCCGAAUGUCGUACGACAAUGUCGCACAAUUUCGAUUAUCGAUCGCACGACACACACGACAUUUUGGUGCAAAAACGUAUGACAUUCGCGCGAAAGUCGUACGACAUUGUCGUGCGACGUCGUACAAUUGCACGGACGACAAACGACGGACGUCCGACGG
Molecule: long non-coding RNA, 2196 nt
Organism: Culex pipiens pallens (northern house mosquito)
Lineage: Eukaryota; Metazoa; Arthropoda; Insecta; Diptera; Culicidae
Exons: 3
Source: RefSeq, a predicted model, not a curated record